Molecule: ribosomal RNA, 355 nt
Filed under: uncultured bacterium
Lineage: Bacteria
Description: bacterial SSU rRNA
Rfam family: Bacterial small subunit ribosomal RNA
Source: RNAcentral
GGACCCGCACAAGUAGUGGAGCAUGUGGUUUAAUUCGAAGAUACGCGCAGAACCUUACCAACACUUGACAUGUUCGUCGCGACUCUAAGAGAUUAGAGUUUUCGGUUCGGCCGGACGAAACACAGGUGCUGCAUGGCUGUCGUCAGCUCGUGUCGUGAGAUGUUGGGUUAAGUCCCGCAACGAGCGCAACCCUCACUUUUAGUUGCCAUCAUUAAGUUGGGCACUCUGAAAGAACUGCCAGUGAUAAGCUGGAGGAAGGUGGGGAUGACGUCAAGUCCUCAUGGCCCCUUACGUGUUGGGCUACACACGUGCUACAAUGGUAUCUACAACAGGAAGCAAAAUCUGCGAGGGGGAG